CAACAUGUAGCUUAACUAAAGCAUCUCGCUUACACCGAGAAAAUAUCUGUGAAACCCAGAUCGUUUUGA
RNAcentral lists this transfer RNA (69 nucleotides) under Dendropsophus meridianus. Its description in RNAcentral is "tRNA-Val". It matches the Rfam family "tRNA". From Rfam's summary of the family: Transfer RNA (tRNA) molecules are approximately 80 nucleotides in length. The record is from RNAcentral. RNAcentral also lists the same sequence under 1 other name. Lineage: Eukaryota; Metazoa; Chordata; Amphibia; Anura; Hylidae.